Molecule: ribosomal RNA, 114 nt
Filed under: Pteropus alecto (black flying fox)
Lineage: Eukaryota; Metazoa; Chordata; Mammalia; Chiroptera; Pteropodidae
Source: RNAcentral
GCUUUUAAAAAUAGAAGUUCUAAAGCCCGAUGUCUGAUCUCGGAAGCUAAGCAGGGUUGGGCCUGGUUAGUACUUGGAUGGGAGACCGCCUAGGAAGACCAGGUGCUGUAGGCA